Molecule: ribosomal RNA, 467 nt
Filed under: uncultured bacterium
Lineage: Bacteria
Description: partial 16S ribosomal RNA
Rfam family: Bacterial small subunit ribosomal RNA
Source: RNAcentral
GACGAACGCUGGCGGCGUGCUUAACACAUGCAAGUCGAACGGAAAGGCCCUGCUUUUGUGGGGUGCUCGAGUGGCGAACGGGUGAGUAACACGUGAGUAACCUGCCCUUGACUUUGGGAUAACUUCAGGAAACUGGGGCUAAUACCGGAUAGGAGCUCCUGCUGCAUGGUGGGGGUUGGAAAGUUUCGGCGGUUGGGUAUGGACUCGCGGCUUAUCAGCUUGUUGGUGGGGUAGUGGCUUACCAAGGCUUUGACGGGUAGCCGGCCUGGGAGGGUGACCGGCAACAUGGGAAGUGAGAAACGGCCCAGACUCCUACGGGAGGCAGCAGUGGGGAAUAUUGCAAAAUGGGCGGAAGCCGGAUGCAGCAACGCCGCGUGCGGGAUGACGGCCUUCGGGUUGUAAACCGCUUUCGCCUGUGACGAAGCGUGAGUGACGGAAAUGGGUAAAGAAGAACCGGCUAACUACGU